CGGGGGGCAGCAGUGGGGAAUAUUGGACAAUGGGCGAAAGCCUGAUCCAGCAAUUCCGCGUGUGUGAAGAAGGCCUUCGGGUUGUAAAGCACUUUAGUGGGGGAAGAAACAGCUUGGCCACACCAAGCCUUGACGGUACCCCAAGAAUAAGCACCGGCUAACUCUGUGCCAGCAGCCGCGGUAAUACAGAGGGUGCAAGCGUUAAUCGGAUUUACUGGGCGUAAAGGGUGCGUAGGUGGCUAUUUAAGUCGGAUGUGAAAGCCCGGGGCUCAACCUCGGAAUUGCAUUCGAUACUGAGUGGCUAGAGUUCGGUAGAGGGCGGCGGAAUUUCCGGUGUAGCGGUGAAAUGCGUAGAUAUCGGAAGGAACAUCAAUGGCGAAGGCAGCCGCCUGGGCCUGGACUGACACUGAGGCACGAAAGCGUGGGUAGCAAACAGGAUUAGAUACCCGCGU
Molecule: ribosomal RNA, 452 nt
Filed under: uncultured Sinobacteraceae bacterium
Lineage: Bacteria; Pseudomonadati; Pseudomonadota; Gammaproteobacteria; Nevskiales; Nevskiaceae
Description: bacterial SSU rRNA
Rfam family: Bacterial small subunit ribosomal RNA
Source: RNAcentral